CUACGUAGGUGACAAGCGUUAUCCGGAUUUACUGGGCGUAAAGGGCGUGUAGGCGGUCUUGCAAGUCAGAAGUGAAAUUCCUGAGCUCAACUCGGGCGCUGCUUCUGAAACUGCAGGACUUGAGUGCUGGAGGGGAUAGCGGAAUUCCUAGUGGAGCGGUAAAAUGCGCAGAUAUUAGGAAGAACACCGGUGGCGAAGGCGGCUAUCUGGACAGUAACUGACGCUGAGGCGCGAAAGCGUGGGGAGCAAACAGGAUUAGAUACCCUGGUAGUCCACACUGUAAACGAUGAAUGCUAGGUGUAAGAGGUAUCGACCCCUUUUGUGCCGGAGUUAACACAAUAAGCAUUCCGCCUGGGGAGUACGGCCGCAAGGUUGAAACUCAAAUGAAUUGACGGGG
This 397-nucleotide ribosomal RNA is filed under the name uncultured bacterium. Its description in RNAcentral is "partial 16S ribosomal RNA". It matches the Rfam family "Bacterial small subunit ribosomal RNA", at positions 523 to 918 of the family's 1533-position model. The record is from RNAcentral.